RNAcentral lists this ribosomal RNA (584 nucleotides) under Niabella sp. BvIRHM061. RNAcentral's name for it is "bacterial SSU rRNA". It matches the Rfam family "Bacterial small subunit ribosomal RNA", at positions 102 to 682 of the family's 1533-position model. The record is from RNAcentral. Lineage: Bacteria; Pseudomonadati; Bacteroidota; Chitinophagia; Chitinophagales; Chitinophagaceae.
ACGGGUGCGGAACACGUACACAACCUUCCUUUUAGUGGGGGAUAGCCCAGAGAAAUUUGGAUUAAUACCCCGUAACAUGAUGAUGAGGCAUCUUAUUAUUAUUAUAGUGGCAACACGCUAGAAGACGGGUGUGCGUAUGAUUAGGUAGUUGGCGGGGUAACGGCCCACCAAGCCUUCGAUCAUUAACUGGUGUGAGAGCACGACCAGUCACACGGGCACUGAGACACGGGCCCGACUCCUACGGGAGGCAGCAGUAAGGAAUAUUGGUCAAUGGAGGAAACUCUGAACCAGCCAUGCCGCGUGGAGGAUGAAGGUCCUCUGGAUUGUAAACUUCUUUUAUAUGGGACGAAAAAGGGACUUUCUAGUUCAACUGACGGUACCAUAUGAAUAAGCACCGGCUAACUCCGUGCCAGCAGCCGCGGUAAUACGGAGGGUGCAAGCGUUAUCCGGAUUCACUGGGUUUAAAGGGAGCGUAGGUGGGUUAGUAAGUCCGUGGUGAAAUCUCUGAGCUUAACUCGGAAACUGCCAUGGAUACUAUUAGUCUUGAAUAUUGUGGAGGUUAGCGGAAUAUGUCAUGUAGCGGU